GAUCUUUUCACGCUACAUCCCUCUCAGUAGGUGUUUAUUACUCUGUUCACCAGCAGCCCUGCUAUUACUGUGGGGCCAGAAGAACUCUACAUACUCGCUUGACAGCAGUCAUCAUGCUGUAAUAAUUUUCUCCCGCUUCACCUGUGGUCCCUAUGAAUAACAGAGUGGGGAGAGAGGGGAAAGCUGAAGAAGAAGAUGAGUUUGGCUUAGUGUCUGAUGAUCACACUGAAGAGAAUAGAUCAAUGAUUAAAACCUGCACCAGCUUGCAGCAAAUCAGCUGCUUCAACUUCAGUUCUUCACAUUCUGCCAGCCGACUGUUUGGAGCUGCCAUUGCUUGCGGGGAAGCCAGUUCUUACAAAAAAAGCCAGAAGUUAAAAAAAAAACCUGUUUUGUUUUAUUUUAAUCUCAGACCAUUCAAAACUUGGAUUUCCUAAAAGUAGUUUAAAAAAUAGGCAGUACAAUAGAUGAUCAGUGGCAACCCCAUCUUAGGUCUGUAUGUGGCCUGUGGCUGUCCAGUUAUAGGGUUAUUCUGCUGAGGGUUGCUCUAGCUUGCAUGUGUGAGUGCAGUACACAUGAUGACAAUGGCUGCUUUGUUAUAUAAAAAGGUGUUAUCUAAUGAAUUGCUGUCUACGUUAUUUGCUAUUUAAUAAAGAUAUUGCAUAUGUACA
Molecule: long non-coding RNA, 668 nt
Filed under: Chrysemys picta bellii (western painted turtle)
Lineage: Eukaryota; Metazoa; Chordata; Testudines; Emydidae
Description: lncRNA (ENSCPBG00000019093.1)
Source: RNAcentral